This 253-nucleotide ribosomal RNA is filed under the name uncultured bacterium. RNAcentral describes it as "partial 16S ribosomal RNA". It matches the Rfam family "Bacterial small subunit ribosomal RNA", at positions 1238 to 1500 of the family's 1533-position model. The record is from RNAcentral.
AACAGAGGGAAGCGAAACAGCGAUGUGGAGCGAAACCCGAAAAGCCAUCCCAGUUCGGAUUGCAGGCUGCAACCCGCCUGUAUGAAGUUGGAAUCGCUAGUAAUCGCGGAUCAGCAUGCCGCGGUGAAUACGUUCCCGGGCCUUGUACACACCGCCCGUCACGCCAUGGGAGCCGGGGGUACCUGAAGUGCGUAACCGCGAGGAGCGCCCUAGGGUAAAACUGGUGACUGGGGCUAAGUCGUAACAAGGUAUC